Molecule: long non-coding RNA, 3746 nt
Organism: Panthera uncia (snow leopard)
Lineage: Eukaryota; Metazoa; Chordata; Mammalia; Carnivora; Felidae
Exons: 3
Source: RefSeq, a predicted model, not a curated record
AGUCUGAAGAUGGGAAGCCCCGGGAAAUUCCUUUCUUUCCACCCUCUCCUUCUCCACCGCGCCGAGAAGCCUUCAGCGACACGCUAGAGUACUCUGGGACACGCUUAGCAUUCUCUGGAGUUCUGCCUCUCCCCCAGGAUUCUUGUGUCUCUCCCGGGUCUUACUAUAUCCUCUCCCCGGGGAUUCCCUCCUCUCCCUCCUGGGUCUCCCCUUAUGUUUUCCGCAGCCUUCUCCACCCCCACCCCCCAUCGGCCUGCCCCAAAUCCUCUUCCUGGAAGCGCGUCCAUCCCCCUCCCCUGCCCUUUCUUCUCUGUCCCAUGACUCCCCACUUCCUAUUCGAACUCCUCUCCCCACAGGGCUGCCCUGACCCCUCCCCGGAUCCCUUGUCUCCACCUUGCCCCCGGGGAGCUUUAUUUUUCCCUGGCUCGCAUUUAUCCAGUGUUCAGUCUUCUCUUUCCUAAGCACCCCCUCCUUUUCCAAGGGUGUUGUCCCCCCCCCUCCAAGAUUCCUGUGGCCCUGCCCCUCGCGCCCCCGCCCUCCCCCCCCCCCCCCCCCCCCCGCCAAACCGACAGGCUCUGAGCCUUCCGUACCUGCUUUGUCCCCUACUCCAGAAGAGGCCAAGCUCAAGGGCCCACCUGAGACUGAGCCUGAGGGCACUUGUACAUUCUCGUAGGAUGUGACCCCAAAGGGCUUACUUCCACAGGUGGGAAGAAGCUGGAACAAGACAAGGGACUCGGUUGUAAAGGUAGAUAACAGGAGGCAGCCCAGCGAUGAGGACAGCAAAUGAGGAAUUUGCUGUGUGGAAAGGGGCUCAUCUGUAUAAAUUUUGGUGAAGUCCAGCCCACAUCAAGAAGUCAAGGAAGGCUUAUGAGACCCUGAAAACCAGGUUGUAUACAACUUCAUUAGUUUAGUCCACUGGCUCUGGGAGGCUCUAAUUUAUAGACAGAGCAUGGUAGGCAGAAUAAUGGCCUCUCCAAAAUGUUCACACUUUAAUCCCCAGAAUCUGUGAGUAUGUUACUUUACUUGACAAAAAUGUAAAUGUGGUUAAGGACUUACUGCAUUUAGUAAAAACAUCCAAGUAUGUUAAAUAAUAAGAAUAAUAACAGGCAUCUCUGUCUAAAUGUUUUUUUUUAAUGUUUAUUUAUUUUUGAGAGAGAGAGACAGAGCGUGAGUAGGGGAGGGGCAGAGAGAGAGGGAGACACAGAAUCUGAAGCAGGCUCCAGGCUCUGAGCUGUCAGCACAGAGCCCGAUGCAGGGCUCAAACUCACAAACUGUGAGAUCAUGACCUGAGCCAAAGUCAGACACUCAACCAACUGAGCCACCCAGGUGCCCCACUAAAUGUUUAUUUUAAUGGAAGUGGUUUUAGUAUUUCACCCUUGAGAACAAUGUUUGCUGUUAAGUUUUAGUAAAAAGCCUUCAUUAUAUUUCAGCAGUUUUCCUCUUUUUCAUUUUUACAUAGAAUUUUUAUAAGGAACUAUAUUAAAUUAAGCUGGCUCUAACUAUUAAAUAUGGGAGCUUUUCUUCUUUUCCUAUAGUUUUGACUAAAUUAAAUGGCAUGGAAGCUAUCAUUAUUUAAGAAUAGAUAAAACUUAGUUCUGGUGUCAUUUGAAUGCAAUCUUUUCUAAAAGUAGGUCUAUAAUCACCUUUUUAUUCUAGUCUUUUCUAAGAUAAGUUGAGCUAUUCAAGCUUUCUUCUUUCUCUUGGGCCAAUUUUAGUAAUUUACAUUUUUCCUAAAAUGUAUCUAUUACCUCUAAAUUUUCAAGUUAGUUGAGGAAUUUUAUUUAUUAUUGUUAUUAUUUUUAAUGUUUAUUUUUGAGAGAGACAGAGCAUGAGCGGGGGAGGUGGGGAGAGAGAAGGAGACCUAGAAUGUGAAGCAGGCUCCAGGCUCUGAGCUGUCAGCACAGAGCCCUACACAGGGCUUGUACUCACAAGCUGCAAGGUCAUGACCUGAGCUGAAGUCAGCUGCCCAACUGAUUGGGCCACCCGGGUGCCCUGAUGAGGAAUUUUAAGUUGCACCUUUUUAUAAUUCUUUAAUUCUUUCUUCUAACUAAUAUUGUCUAUUUUUACUCCUUUUUUCUUUGUGUGUGUGUGUGUGUGUGCAUGCUUGUAAGAGGUUUAUUAGCCCUUUUAUUUAUUUAUUUUUUAAUGUUUAAUUAUUUUUGACAGAGAGACAGAGCAUGAAUGGGGGAGGAGCAGAGAGAGAGGGAGACACAGAAUCUGAAGCCAACUCCAGGCUCCGAGCUCUCAGCACAGAGCCUGACGCGGGGCUCGAACUCACAUACCUCGAGAUCAUGACCUGAGCUGAAGUCGGAAGCUCAACCGACUGAGCCACCCAGGCGCCCCUUUAUUAGCCCUUUUAAAGAACUUUUUAAAGUGUAUGCUCUUUAGUAUUUUUGUUGGUUCUCCGUUUCAUUCAUGUCAGCUUUUGAUAUUUCCUGCUUAUUUUUGGUUUCUUGUUCUUUUUGUAAUCUAUUGAAAUAAGUACUCCCCUUUCUCUCUCUCUCUCUCUCUCUCUCUCUCUCUCUCUCUUUUAAGCUUGCUAUCUUUAUAGCAUUUGGGGCAUAUAUGAUACAGGGCAAUUGAGAUGGCAUCCAGCAUUACACUAUUUUUUCAUUAAGCAUUUAAAUUUUGUAAAUACUAUAAUUUUGUUCUUUUUUAAAACCAGCUUUACUGUAUUGUAAUUGGCACGCAAUAAAUUUUAUCAGUAUUAAGUGUACAAUCCUAUGAGUUUUGACAAAUGUAUUCAGUCAUGUAACCACCACCACAAUCAAGAUCCAGAAGACUCCCAUCAUCCUAAAAGUUCCCUCCUACCUCUUUGCAAGCAAUCCUCACACCACUUCCAGCUGGUAACUUAAAUUCCCCUUGUUGGAUACCAGUAUUACCACUGCUUUCUGUUUAUCUGCCUGGUGUCUCUUUCCCAUAUUUUUAAUUUGAAUCUUUAUCACUUUGCCUUUUUUUUCUUUAAUGUUUAUUUGUUUUUGAGAGAGAGAGAAAGAGCGCAUGUGAGGGGCAGAAAGAGAGGGGGACAGAGGAUCUGAAGGAGGCUCCUCGCUGACAACAGAAAGCCUAAUGUGGGGCUUGAACUCACGAACUGUGGGAUCAUGACCUGAGCCCAAGUAGGGUGCUUAACCCACUGAGCCACCCAGGUGCCCCUUGAUCACUUUGCUUAGAAGAAGUAUGUUUCUUCUAAGUAGCAUUGACCAGAUUUUGACUUAUAAGAAAGUCUUAGAGUCUUUUAAUGGAAGAAUUCAGUCCACUCAUAUUACUAUACUGAGUGAUAUAUUUGAUUUAUUUCCAUCUUACUUGUUUUUGAAUUUGUAAACAUUGUUGUGAACCCUUCUUUACCUUUGUUGGAUUGAAUGAAUGGCUAUUCAUCCCAUUUUCUCCUUGUUAAUUUGGAGUUUGUCGUUCUAUUAAUAGUUACCAUCUUUUGCCUUGUUCUCUGAAAUAGAUGCACAUGAUUGUUCUAGUAUGUGAAAACAGAACAACUAUUUCCAUCAUACUUUACUUAUCUUCUACUUCCUCCCCACCUCAAUAAGAAAUGGUCUUUAGACUACUUUCACUACCUUUCCUCCUCCUUCCCCCCCACCACCCCAGAUCCUUGGAACACUUACCUUUGACUUACCCUCACCACCUGAUUCCAGAGUUUUCUUGAGAUGAUUCAGUCCCUAUUAGAAGUUCCUUUACAAUGUAUGUGUUCCUUCUGUUUCAAGAGUUUUAGCAUUUAUAUGAUGUACUAUACAUAU